UCUCAUUUCAUACACAACGAAGCCAAACAGAUUGGGGAAGAAGAACUCCCUAACCCUCAUCAAACCAUCUCACUGCCAUAACUUUUCCGUUUGAGUUCCGAUCGCCGCACCGUUUGCGGCCACGUGUCCAGCGCGUCGAGCUCUACAUUUCUUUCAGAUAAAUUUUAUUGGUUUGAUUUAGCUUGUGGAGCUUACUGGGUUUGAGUUGCUACGCGUGUGGGAGCGGUGUGAAUUAAGUUCAUAUAUAUGCAUUGGAAUUGAAAAUUGAGUAUUUGGAGGCUUAUGGGUGAUUGAAGCUUGGUUUGUGGCUGGUUUCUUUGAGCUUGGGGGCUGUGUUCUAGCUUGUGAGGCUGCCUUGGAUUGAAUAAAGUGAUCGGCCAAGGUAUGGUUUAGGUUUCGCGUGUUUAACAUAUAAGAUUUUGUGAAAACUUAGGUUAGGGGACCAUAGGCUAAGUUGAAAUGGAUAAAUGAAUGAAAUGAUUAGUUGUGUGAUGAUGUAGGAUAAAUUUAUGAUUGAGUUUGUAUUGGAAUUUAUGAGUAUGAGUUGCUGGUAUUGUUGAAUAUGUGUGAUUAUAAAUAUUAAUGUUGGGUUGAUGAUGAUGUUGAUAUGAGUUAAUUGAAUUUGGUGGUAUGACUUGUUUAAUUAGUUGAAGGUGGAUUAUGAUAUGGUAUUAAUGAAUGAAGGUAAUAGACUAAUGAAUUUUAAUAUGAAAGUUAUGGAUGGAAUGGGUGAAUUCUUUGAAUAAUGCACGGGUUUUAUGAAUUGGUAUGAAUAUUAAUGUGAUAGUGGAUAGGAUUAAUAAAAUGGAACUUGUUAUAUAAUGGAGGUGCAGGUUUUGAUGGUAAGGAACAUGAUUUUGGUGAAAAUGAGGUUUGGAUGUGGGUUGGUAAAAAGUGAAUUUUUGUGAAUUUUGGAAGUCCAUAACCUGCUCCUCAAAUUUUGGAUGGAAUUGGGUUUAUUUCAAAUGAAAGAUGGUUUUAUAAGCUUUUGAACGAUAUCAAUUUUGUGAAAAACGGAAUUUUGUAGAGAAAAUUAUAGACGGCGGAAGUUUAGUAUAAAAACUGUGCACAGGAUAACAAAAUCUGGUUUGUAGCAGCUUUCUGGGCAUUCUGCCAAUUUUGGGAAAACGUCCAUCCACGCGUACGCGUGGUGUGGCAUUUUGACGACGCAUGCGCGAGUAGCCAUGUGUGCGCGUGAGAGGCCAAUGCGCAUGAUCACGCAUACGCAUGAUCACGCGUACGCGUGACGUGCUAUUCUCACCAUGCGUGCGCGUGGCCCCUGUUUGCUGCAAAACUGGAUUUUAACAUUUUAAAUCAGAUUUUCACUUCUAAACCUCCAUUUCCUCCUUUUUAAACUUAAGGUAUAGUGCUAAGUUCAGUAGCUAGUUGAAACUAGGAAAAUAAGCUAACUUGGAAGUGAAGUAAGAGGUAAAUGAUGACUUAUAUGACAGAGAUGAGAAUAUUAAAAGAAGUUUAAUGUCAUGGCUUGAUAAAUGAUUAUAUAUUGAUUAUGAAAAUGAAAUGGCUUAUGAGAAAUGAUAUCUGAGAUACGAGUUUUCCUGGGUAAAAACUGUGACUUGCCACCACGUGUUCGAAGUCGAAACUCGA
Non-coding RNA from Arachis ipaensis, 1608 nucleotides. NCBI's taxonomy places the organism in Eukaryota, Viridiplantae, Streptophyta, Magnoliopsida, Fabales, Fabaceae. The record is from RefSeq and is a predicted model, not a curated record.